UUUGCUUGCAAACUGAAGAUGGCGACCGGCGCACGGGUGAGUAACACGUAUCCAACCUGCCGAUAACUCCGGGAUAGCCUUCCGAAAGAAAGAUUAAUACCGGAUAGCAUACGAAUAUCGCAUGAUAUUUUUAUUAAAGAAUUUCGGUUAUCGAUGGGGAUGCGUUCCAUUAGUUUGUUGGCGGGGUAACGGCCCACCAAGACUACGAUGGAUAGGGGUUCUGAGAGGAAGGUCCCCCACAUUGGAACUGAGACACGGUCCAAACUCCUACGGGAGGCAGCAGUGAGGAAUAUUGGUCAAUGGGCGAGAGCCUGAACCAGCCAAGUAGCGUGAAGGAUGAAGGCUCUAUGGGUCGUAAACUUCUUUUAUAUGGGAAUAAAGUUUUCCACGUGUGGAAUUUUGUAUGUACCAUAUGAAUAAGGAUCGGCUAACUCCGUGCCAGCAGCCGCGGUAAUACGGAGGAUCCGAGCGUUAUCCGGGUUUAUUGGGUUUAAAGGGAGCGUAGGUGGAUUGUUAAGUCAGUUGUGAAAGUUUGCGGCUCAACCGUAAAAUUGCAGUUGAAACUGGCAGUCUUGAGUACAGUAGAGGUGGGCGGAAUUCGUGGUGUAGCGGUGAAAUGCUUAGAUAUCACGAAGACUCCGAUUGCGAAGGCAGCUCACUAGACUG
Molecule: ribosomal RNA, 666 nt
Filed under: uncultured Bacteroidales bacterium
Lineage: Bacteria; Pseudomonadati; Bacteroidota; Bacteroidia; Bacteroidales
Description: bacterial SSU rRNA
Rfam family: Bacterial small subunit ribosomal RNA
Source: RNAcentral